Long non-coding RNA from Serinus canaria (Common canary), 341 nucleotides. RefSeq lists it as uncharacterized. The transcript is spliced from 3 exons. The record is from RefSeq and is a predicted model, not a curated record. Lineage: Eukaryota; Metazoa; Chordata; Aves; Passeriformes; Fringillidae.
GCCAGGGCCUGCCCACCCUCCCAGGGAGGAACUCCUUCCCAGUAUCAAAUCUAAACCUUCUUUGUGUUCCCUUCAGGCACUGAAAGGCUGCAAUUUCAUCAUCCCAGAGCCUUUUCUCCUCCAGGUGAACCCCCCCAGCUCUCCCAGUCUCUCUCCAGAGCAGAGGGCUCCAUCCCUCAGAUCAUCCCUGUGGACUCUCUCCUCCAGCACCUCCAUGUCCUUCCUGUGCUGGCAGCCCCAGAGCUCAGCACUCCAGCCCUGCUGCAGUGCUGGCACUCCUGCACGUCCAGAAAGGCUCUGUUUCCUUACCCUGAGAAUGACUUCAGCAGACACUAAAAUUC